CGAUGGAUAACAGGUUGAUAUUCCUGUACCACCUAUAAUCGUUUUAAUCGAUGGGGGGACGCAGUAGGAUAGGCGAAGCGUGCGAUUGGAUUGCACGUCUAAGCAGUAAGGCUGAGUAUUAGGCAAAUCCGGUACUCGUUAAGGCUAAGCUGUGAUGGGGAGAAGACAUUGUGUCUUCGAGUCGUUGAUUUCACACUGCCGAGAAAAGCCUCUAGAUAGAAAAUAGGUGCCCGUACCGCAAACCGACACAGGUAGUCAAGAUGAGAAUUCUAAGGUGAGCGAGCGAACUCUCG
RNAcentral lists this ribosomal RNA (293 nucleotides) under Staphylococcus aureus. Its description in RNAcentral is "partial 23S ribosomal RNA". It matches the Rfam family "Bacterial large subunit ribosomal RNA", at positions 1416 to 1704 of the family's 2925-position model. Lineage: Bacteria; Bacillati; Bacillota; Bacilli; Caryophanales; Staphylococcaceae. The record is from RNAcentral.